This 556-nucleotide ribosomal RNA is filed under the name Exiguobacterium sp. T7. Its description in RNAcentral is "bacterial SSU rRNA". It matches the Rfam family "Bacterial small subunit ribosomal RNA", at positions 36 to 538 of the family's 1533-position model. The record is from RNAcentral. Lineage: Bacteria; Bacillati; Bacillota; Bacilli; Caryophanales.
GACUGACUGGCUCGGACGAACGCUGGCGGCGUGCCUAAUACAUGCAAGUCGAGCGCAGGAAACUGACGGAACUCUUCGGAGGGAAGGCAGCGGAAUGAGCGGCGGACGGGUGAGUAACACGUAAGGAACCUGCCUCAAGGAUUGGGAUAACUCCGAGAAAUCGGAGCUAAUACCGGAUAGUUCAUCGGACCGCAUGGUCCGUUGAUGAAAGGCGCUCCGGCGUCACCUUGAGAUGGCCUUGCGGUGCAUUAGCUAGUUGGUGGGGUAACGGCCCACCAAGGCGACGAUGCAUAGCCGACCUGAGAGGGUGAUCGGCCACACUGGGACUGAGACACGGCCCAGACUCCUACGGGAGGCAGCAGUAGGGAAUCUUCCACAAUGGACGAAAGUCUGAUGGAGCAACGCCGCGUGAGUGAUGAAGGUUUUCGGAUCGUAAAACUCUGUUGUAAGGGAAGAACACGUACGAGAGGGAAUGCUCGUACCUUGACGGUACCUUACGAGAAAGCCACGGCUAACUACGUGCCAGCCGCCGCGGUAAUACGUCGUGACUGGAAAA